GAGUUUGAUCUUGGCUCAGAGUGAACGCUGGCGGUAGGCCUAACACAUGCAAGUCGAACGGCAGCACAGUAAGAGCUUGCUCUUAUGGGUGGCGAGUGGCGGACGGGUGAGGAAUACAUCGGAAUCUACUUUUUCGUGGGGGAUAACGUGGGGAAACUUACGCUAAUACCGCAUACGACCUACGGGUGAAAGCAGGGGAUCUUCGGACCUUGCGCGAUUGAAUGAGCCGAUGUCGGAUUAGCUAGUUGGCGGGGUAAAGGCCCACCAAGGCGACGAUCCGUAGCUGGUCUGAGAGGAUGAUCAGCCACACUGGAACUGAGACACGGUCCAGACUCCUACGGGAGGCAGCAGUGGGGAAUAUUGGACAAUGGGCGCAAGCCUGAUCCAGCCAUACCGCGUGGGUGAGAAGGCCU
RNAcentral lists this ribosomal RNA (413 nucleotides) under uncultured microorganism. Its description in RNAcentral is "bacterial SSU rRNA". It matches the Rfam family "Bacterial small subunit ribosomal RNA", at positions 9 to 417 of the family's 1533-position model. The record is from RNAcentral.